AUUGAACGCUGGCGGCAUGCCUUACACAUGCAAGUCGAACGGUAACAGGUCUUUGGAUGCUGACGAGUGGCGAACGGGUGAGUAAUACAUCGGAACGUGCCCGAUCGUGGGGGAUAACGAAGCGAAAGCUUUGCUAAUACCGCAUAAGAUCUACGGAUGAAAGCAGGGGGACCGCAAGGCCUUGCGCGAACGGAGCGGCCGAUGGCAGAUUAGGUAGUUGGUGGGAUAAAAGCUUACCAAGCCAACGAUCUGUAGCUGGUCUGAGAGGACGACCAGCCACACUGGAACUGAGACACGGUCCAGACUCCUACGGGAGGCAGCAGUGGGGAAUUUUGGACAAUGGGGAAACCCUGAUCCAGCCAUGCCGCGUGAGUGAAGAAGGCC
Molecule: ribosomal RNA, 384 nt
Filed under: uncultured bacterium
Lineage: Bacteria
Description: bacterial SSU rRNA
Rfam family: Bacterial small subunit ribosomal RNA
Source: RNAcentral